GUAAGGAAUAUUGGACAAUGGACGCAAGUCUGAUCCAGCCAUGCCGCGUGAAGGAUUAAGGUCCUCUGGAAUGUAAACUUCUUUUAUAAGGGACGAAAAAAAGCUUUUCUAAGUCGUCUGACGGUACCUUAUGAAUAAGCACCGGCUAACUCCGUGCCAGCAGCCGCGGUAAUACGGAGGGUGCAAGCGUUAUCCGGAUUCACUGGGUUUAAAGGGUGCGUAGGCGGGCAGGUAAGUCAGUGGUGAAAUCCUAGAGCUUAACUCUAGAACUGCCAUUGAUACUAUCUGUCUUGAAUAUUGUGGAGGUAAGCGGAAUAUGUCAUGUAGCGGUGAAAUGCUUAGAUAUGACAUAGAACACCUAUUGCGAAGGCAGCUUACUACGCAUAUAUUGACGCUGAGGCACGAAAGCGUGGGGAUCAAACAGGAUUAGAUACCCGAGUAGUCC
RNAcentral lists this ribosomal RNA (445 nucleotides) under uncultured bacterium. Its description in RNAcentral is "partial 16S ribosomal RNA". It matches the Rfam family "Bacterial small subunit ribosomal RNA", at positions 354 to 796 of the family's 1533-position model. The record is from RNAcentral.